RNAcentral lists this transfer RNA (82 nucleotides) under Pangasianodon hypophthalmus (striped catfish). It matches the Rfam family "tRNA". From Rfam's summary of the family: Transfer RNA (tRNA) molecules are approximately 80 nucleotides in length. Their secondary structure includes four short double-helical elements and three loops (D, anti-codon, and T loops). Lineage: Eukaryota; Metazoa; Chordata; Actinopteri; Siluriformes; Pangasiidae. The record is from Rfam by way of RNAcentral.
GAUGAGGUGGCCGAGAGGUUAAGGCGAUGGACUGCUAAUCCAUUGUGCUCUGCCUGUGUGGGUUCGAAUCCCACCCUCAUUG